AUGCAUGCAAAGAAAAGGUGUAUGGAUAUCUGUGCAUAUAUGCAUGCCUGCACAGAUAUCCAUACACUUUUUUCUUUGCAUGCAUUU
Molecule: non-coding RNA, 87 nt
Organism: Podarcis lilfordi (Lilford's wall lizard)
Lineage: Eukaryota; Metazoa; Chordata; Lepidosauria; Squamata; Lacertidae
Source: the annotation of a GenBank genome assembly